CUUUUGUCUUCAAGCAGUCUGUCUUGAUGCAGUUUGGUUGUAUCCAAAACUAAGAAAGAGUUUCAGUUACUUUGACUACUGCAGAGUGGACUUUCCUUAUUCAGCUAACAAAACUGAAGACCCACGUUCUCAAGUUAGGACAGACAAAGCAGAGGUAGCUGAACUGAUCAGGCUUGAAAGGUCCUUUUCUUCAUUGGUAGAAGAAUUGACUAGCAAAGGGAAUCUUCACAGCUUUCAAAGAGAUCUUCAGAGGUUGAUGAAGCUUGUAGACAGACAAGAAGUUCUGAAGUCUUCAUCCUCUGAACGUUGUAACUUCUGAACAUGUGAAACUCUGAUCACGUGAACUUCUGAACUCACGUCCUCUGAGCUUCACUCAGAGCUUAUUUGAUGCUUAUAUCUGCACACUUAAAAUAAAGUUUUAGUCCUUCCAAUUGUUUAUUAAUACUUUGUUAUCAUCAAAACCUUUAUAGAUUUAGGGGCAAACAUUUUUAAA
This 493-nucleotide long non-coding RNA is filed under the name Trifolium pratense (red clover). Its description in RNAcentral is "long non-coding RNA (TPRA_LNC007755)". Lineage: Eukaryota; Viridiplantae; Streptophyta; Magnoliopsida; Fabales; Fabaceae. The record is from RNAcentral.